UGGGUCUUACGCAAUGGACAUCCACGAACCGUGUCAGGGUGGGAACACAGCAGCACUAAGAGGAACCGUUCAUGUGCCGUAAGGGUGCCUG
RNAcentral lists this signal recognition particle RNA (91 nucleotides) under human gut metagenome. Its description in RNAcentral is "Bacterial small signal recognition particle RNA". It matches the Rfam family "Bacterial small signal recognition particle RNA". From Rfam's summary of the family: The signal recognition particle (SRP) is a universally conserved ribonucleoprotein involved in the co-translational targeting of proteins to membranes. Archaeal SRP consists of a 7S RNA and homologues of the eukaryotic SRP19 and SRP54 proteins. The record is from RNAcentral. RNAcentral also lists the same sequence under 1 other name.